Molecule: transfer RNA, 71 nt
Filed under: Proteobacteria bacterium CAG:495
Lineage: Bacteria; Pseudomonadati; Pseudomonadota
Rfam family: tRNA
About the family: Transfer RNA (tRNA) molecules are approximately 80 nucleotides in length. Their secondary structure includes four short double-helical elements and three loops (D, anti-codon, and T loops).
Source: Rfam by way of RNAcentral
UGCCUCAUCGUCUAAUGGUAGGACAGCAGACUCUGACUCUGUUAAUCGUGGUUCGAAUCCAUGUGAGGCAG